UAGAGCGCAACCUUGCCAAGGUUGAGGUCGCGGGUUCGAAUCCCGUUUCUCGCUCCA
This 57-nucleotide transfer RNA is filed under the name Deltaproteobacteria bacterium. Its description in RNAcentral is "tRNA-Ser". It matches the Rfam family "tRNA", at positions 19 to 71 of the family's 71-position model. From Rfam's summary of the family: Transfer RNA (tRNA) molecules are approximately 80 nucleotides in length. The record is from RNAcentral. Lineage: Bacteria; Pseudomonadati; Myxococcota; Myxococcia.